CUGACAAUUUGGAAAGUAACACAUGAACUAGGUUUUGUGCUACUUGAAAAAUAUCACCUAGAGUAUAGACACAAGCAAACAAUACUCCAGCAAUGUAAAGGAAGCAAAAGCAAGCUUAAACCAAAAAAGAAACUUAGAAAUCAAAUAAAAACGAACCUGGACAAAAAAUAUUGCAUUUAAUUCACUUCAACGCAAAUUAAAUAUGGAUCUACUUAAAUCUACCCAAAAAGGAAAGUAUCAAAACCCCACAAAUAGAAUCAGAAAAGAAAAAUGUAAAUUUCUCUCAGAUCAGAAACAUGGAC
Molecule: long non-coding RNA, 302 nt
Filed under: Manihot esculenta (cassava)
Lineage: Eukaryota; Viridiplantae; Streptophyta; Magnoliopsida; Malpighiales; Euphorbiaceae
Description: long non-coding RNA (MESC_LNC011341)
Source: RNAcentral